CCUACGGGUGGCAGCAGUGGGGAAUAUUGGACAAUGGGGGGAACCCUGAUCCAGCCAUGCCGCGUGUGUGGAGAAGGCCCUCGGGUUGUAAAGCACUUUCAGUGAGGAAGAACGCCUGGUGGUUAAUACCCAUCAGGAAAGACAUCACUCACAGAAGAAGCACCGGCUAACUCCGUGCCAGCAGCCGCGGUAAUACGGAGGGUGCGAGCGUUAAUCGGAAUUACUGGGCGUAAAGCGCGCGUAGGUGGCUUGAUAAGCCGGUUGUGAAAGCCCCGGGCUCAACCUGGGAACGGCAUCCGGAACUGUCAAGCUAGAGUGCAGGAGAGGAAGGUAGAAUUCCCGGUGUAGCGGUGAAAUGCGUAGAGAUCGGGAGGAAUACCAGUGGCGAAGGCGGCCUUCUGGACUGACACUGACACUGAGGUGCGAAAGCGUGGGUAGCAAACAGGAUUAGAUACCCUAGUAGUC
RNAcentral lists this ribosomal RNA (465 nucleotides) under Vreelandella stevensii. Its description in RNAcentral is "partial 16S ribosomal RNA". It matches the Rfam family "Bacterial small subunit ribosomal RNA", at positions 338 to 795 of the family's 1533-position model. The record is from RNAcentral. Lineage: Bacteria; Pseudomonadati; Pseudomonadota; Gammaproteobacteria; Oceanospirillales; Halomonadaceae.